This 535-nucleotide ribosomal RNA is filed under the name Necallianassa acanthura. RNAcentral describes it as "partial large subunit ribosomal RNA". It matches the Rfam family "Bacterial large subunit ribosomal RNA", at positions 1819 to 2625 of the family's 2925-position model. Lineage: Eukaryota; Metazoa; Arthropoda; Malacostraca; Decapoda; Callianassidae. The record is from RNAcentral.
GUCUGUUUGAUAUUAUUUACAGUCUGGCCUGCCCACUGAUUUUUUAAAGGCCGCGGUAUAAUGACCGUGCGAAGGUAGCAUAAUAAUUAGUCUUUUAAUUGAAGACUGGAAUGAAUGGUCGGACAAAAAGUAAUCUGUCUUAAAUCUAUAAAUUGAAAUUAACUUCUAAGUGAAAAGGCUUAGAUAAACUUAAAAGACGACAAGACCCUAUAAAACUUUAUAUAGUAAAUAUUAUUUUUAAUUUAUAACUUUAACAAAAAUAAUAGCAAACUAUAUUUCGUUGGGGCGACGAAAGUAUAUUUAAAUAACUGCUUUUUUUUAAAAACAAUUAUAUUUGAUAAUUAUGACCCUUUAUUAAGAUCUAAAGAAAAAGUUACUUUAGGGAUAACAGCGUUAUUUUUUUUGAGAGUCCAUAUCGACAAAAAAGUUUGCGACCUCGAUGUUGAAUUAAAGUUCCAUUAUAAUGCAGCAAUUAUAAAAGGAGGUCUGUUCGACCUUUAAAACUUUACAUGAUUUGAGUUCAAACCGGUGUGAG